Molecule: small RNA, 30 nt
Filed under: Bombyx mori (domestic silkworm)
Lineage: Eukaryota; Metazoa; Arthropoda; Insecta; Lepidoptera; Bombycidae
Description: ovarian small RNA-21851
Source: RNAcentral
UAGAAUCCUGGCCGCCGCGUGUUAUGUGAC